RNAcentral lists this ribosomal RNA (693 nucleotides) under uncultured human fecal bacterium HF10. Its description in RNAcentral is "bacterial SSU rRNA". It matches the Rfam family "Bacterial small subunit ribosomal RNA", at positions 32 to 715 of the family's 1533-position model. The record is from RNAcentral. Lineage: Bacteria; Pseudomonadati; Bacteroidota; Bacteroidia; Bacteroidales; Bacteroidaceae.
AACGCUAGCUACAGGCUUAACACAUGCAAGUCGAGGGGCAGCAUGGUCUUAGCUUGCUAAGGCUGAUGGCGACCGGCGCACGGGUGAGUAACACGUAUCCAACCUGCCGUCUACUCUUGGCCAGCCUUCUGAAAGAAAGAUUAAUACCCGAUGGCAUAGUUCUUCCGCAUGGUAGAACUAUUAAAGAAUUUCGGUCAUCGAUGGGGAUGCGUUCCAUUAGGUUGUUGGCGGGGUAACGGCCCACCAAGCCUUCGAUGGAUAGGGGUUCUGAGAGGAAGGUCCCCCACAUUGGAACUGAGACACGGUCCCAACUCCUACGGGAGGCAGCAGUGGGGAAUAUUGGUCAAUGGACGAGAGUCUGAACCAGCCAAGUAGCGUGAAGGAUGACCGCCCUAUGGGUUGUAAACUUCUUUUAUACGGGAAUAAAGUGAGGCACGUGUGCCUUUUUGUAUGUACCGUAUGAAUAAGGAUCGGCUAACUCCGUGCCAGCAGCCGCGGUAAUACGGAGGAUUCGAGCGUUAUCCGGAUUUAUUGGGUUUAAAGGGAGCGUAGGCGGACGCUUAAGUCAGUUGUGAAAGUUUGCGGCUCAACCGUAAAAUUGCAGUUGAUACUGGGUGUCUUGAGUACAGUAGAGGCAGGCGGAAUUCGUGGUGUAGCGGUGAAAUGCUUAGAUAUCACGAAGAACUCCGAUUG